Molecule: microRNA, 22 nt
Filed under: Rattus norvegicus (Norway rat)
Lineage: Eukaryota; Metazoa; Chordata; Mammalia; Rodentia; Muridae
Description: rno-miR-3580-5p
Source: miRBase by way of RNAcentral
UGCUUGUACUUAUUCUGGUGAC